AUGCGUAGGUGGUUUCUUAAGCAAAACAUGAAAUCACGAGGCUCAACCUCGUGGCUGUGUUUUGAACUGGGAAACUAGAGAAUGGUAGAGGUAACUGGAAUUCCUAGUGUAGGAGUGAUAUCCGUAGAUACUAGGAGGAACACCAAUGGCGAAGGCAGGUUACUGGGCCAUUUCUGACACUGGGGCUCGAAAGCGUGGGGAGCAAACG
This 208-nucleotide ribosomal RNA is filed under the name uncultured bacterium. RNAcentral's name for it is "partial 16S ribosomal RNA". It matches the Rfam family "Bacterial small subunit ribosomal RNA", at positions 567 to 774 of the family's 1533-position model. The record is from RNAcentral.